UCAAUGGCGAUGAAGAGGAGUAGUACGUAAUUUCCCAUAUUUACAGAGAGCCAGCAUAAGGUGAAAGCUGGUAAUAUGGGAUUACGGAACUCGCCUCGGAGCUGAGAUCCUGAAUGAGUAAAGUAGGGAUCUCCGUAUACCUGCGUUAAAGGUUAGAGUUGCCUUGAGUUCUUUAACUUGAGGCAAGAAAGGUGGUACCGUGGGAAAGCUUCUCACCCUUUAU
Molecule: non-coding RNA, 223 nt
Filed under: Dictyoglomus turgidum
Lineage: Bacteria; Pseudomonadati; Dictyoglomota; Dictyoglomia; Dictyoglomales; Dictyoglomaceae
Description: T-box sequence
Rfam family: T-box leader
About the family: Uncharged tRNA acts as the effector for transcription antitermination of genes in the T-box leader family. T-boxes are found upstream of many aminoacyl-tRNA synthetase genes and some amino acid biosynthetic genes usually in Gram-positive bacteria.
Source: RNAcentral